RNAcentral lists this ribosomal RNA (560 nucleotides) under gamma proteobacterium ZL-7. RNAcentral describes it as "bacterial SSU rRNA". It matches the Rfam family "Bacterial small subunit ribosomal RNA", at positions 109 to 665 of the family's 1533-position model. The record is from RNAcentral. Lineage: Bacteria; Pseudomonadati; Pseudomonadota; Gammaproteobacteria.
AGUAAUGCCUGGGAAUUUGCCCAUUUGUGGGGGAUAACAGUUGGAAACGACUGCUAAUACCGCAUACGCCCUACGGGGGAAAGCAGGGGACCUUCGGGCCUUGCGCUGAUGGAUAAGCCCAGGUGGGAUUAGCUAGUAGGUGAGGUAAAGGCUCACCUAGGCGACGAUCCCUAGCUGGUCUGAGAGGAUGAUCAGCCACACUGGGACUGAGACACGGCCCAGACUCCUACGGGAGGCAGCAGUGGGGAAUAUUGCACAAUGGGGGAAACCCUGAUGCAGCCAUGCCGCGUGUGUGAAGAAGGCCUUCGGGUUGUAAAGCACUUUCAGCGAGGAGGAAAGGGUGUAAGUUAAUACCUUACAUCUGUGACGUUACUCGCAGAAGAAGCACCGGCUAACUCCGUGCCAGCAGCCGCGGUAAUACGGAGGGUGCGAGCGUUAAUCGGAAUUACUGGGCGUAAAGCGUGCGCAGGCGGUUUGUUAAGCGAGAUGUGAAAGCCCCGGGCUCAACCUGGGAACCGCAUUUCGAACUGGCAAACUAGAGUCUUGUAGAGGGGGGUAGA